CUUUGCAGUGCGAGAGCGCCAGGUCAUCACCUAUUCUCGAGAAUAAACGUUUGGAGCCCAAUGCCUUGACGGAGAUCUUUCUAAUCCCAGAAUGCUUCCAAGAAACUUGAGGAAAUCCUUCCACAAGAAGGACAGAGACGAACAGAAAUGGAACUUGAUGGGAGAAAGUGAUCCAUCAAAAAUUGAGAUCUGAAACAUGAAGACUGUUUCCUUUCCUACUUUUCUGCUACAUGACCUCUAGGUGGCAUGGUGAUAUAGCAGAAUAGUGCAGAUUCACAUGUGGAAAAGCACCAACUUUCGGUUUUACAAAUAAUACUACAUUUUCUCUACUCUAAAAAAAAGUCACUGGAAGUGCUCUUUAAAAACAGAAGCAAAACUGGAAGGUCAUGACAUUGUCUAAGGAAGCUGUAAACAACUCUUCCAGACGAAGCGCAAGGAUAGCUGCACAUAAAGAGCAUUACAGAAAUCAAUGCAUGCACUACAGUGGUGUCAUGUCUAACCCUACUGCCCCUGUUUUGGGAGAAGAUGUUUCAGGAUGUCUUACACAUGAAGCAGUUUUCUUCAAAAGGGUACAUUUGCAUUAUCAGCAGAGAAGAUAGAAAAUGGCACAAUUUUAGCUGAUUGCAAACGAAAGAGCCUUUAAGCAGUGCUGUAAUUUGGGUUCCUUCUUGCUGGCGGGCUUCUUCAACAAAGUCUACCAACCAAUUUAUGCAACUGCAUUCAGCUGCGUCAAGCCAUGGAUCAGCCAGGGGCUGCAACAACUUCCUGCUUCCUUU
Long non-coding RNA from Elgaria multicarinata webbii, 776 nucleotides. RefSeq lists it as uncharacterized. The transcript has 5 exons. The record is from RefSeq and is a predicted model, not a curated record. Lineage: Eukaryota; Metazoa; Chordata; Lepidosauria; Squamata; Anguidae.